This is a long non-coding RNA of Oreochromis niloticus (Nile tilapia), 3121 nucleotides long. RefSeq annotates it as progestin and adipoQ receptor family member 3. The transcript is spliced from 8 exons. The record is from RefSeq and is a predicted model, not a curated record. NCBI's taxonomy places the organism in Eukaryota, Metazoa, Chordata, Actinopteri, Cichliformes, Cichlidae.
UGGAAGGGUCCAUUACUGAUGACGUCUGUGUGACUCGGAAGAUGUUGUAGCUUAAACUUCAGAAAUUUUACGCGUUGUGUUUGUUUGUUUUUUAAAGUUAAUAUUAACACGUGUUCACAAAUGCGUAGUACGUAUUAUAAGCCCCAGAAUGGCACAAACUGCAAAUAUGCCAAAUUAAAAGGUUCGGGUCAGAUUAAACCGCACGCUGCUGGCUCAGACAUGCCUCAGAAACCACAGAAGAGCUCUCAGACUGCACACUACAUCGAGCUGGGAGGUUAUCAGUACUGGCCUGUACUGGUGCCCAGAGGUAUCAGGCUGUACACAUACGAGCAGAUCCCCCCGUUUCUGAGGGAGAACCCCUACAUCACAGAUGGAUACAGGGCAUACCUGCCCUCCAGGCUGUGCAUCAAAAGCCUCUUCAUCCUGUCCAAUGAGACGGUGAACAUCUGGAGCCAUCUCCUGGGCUUCCUCCUCUUCUUCUGUCUUGGGGUGUACAACAUGGCCUCGGUGCUGCCGGCUGUUGGCGCCUCCAGAGAGGAUUAUGUCAUCUACUCCAUUGGACUCUUCUGCUUUCAGCUGUGUAUGCUGUGCUCAGUGGGUUACCACCUGUUCUGCUGCCACCGCUCAGAGAAGACCAGCCGCCGCUGGAUGGCGCUGGAUUACGCCGGCGUUUCCAUCGGCAUCCUGGGCUGCUACGUCCCUGGAGUCUUCUACACCUUCUACUGUAAUAACUACUGGCGGCAGGUGUACCUGGUGACGGUCCUCGCCAUGAUCCUGGCUGUGUUCUUCGCUCAGAUCCACCCUCAUUACCUGAGCAAGCAGUGGAAGCAGCUGCGCUCGAUCAUCUUCUGCUCGGUGACCGGGUACGGCCUCAUCCCCACCGUCCACUGGAUCUGCCUCACGGGAGGUUUCUCCUCUGAACUCGUCCAGGCGUUUCUUCCUCGGGUCCUGGUGAUGUACUUCAUUGCAGCACUGGCUCUCAUUUUCUAUGUUUCAAAAGUUCCUGAGCGGUACUUCCCAGGUCAGCUGAACUACCUGGGCUCCAGCCAUCAGGUUUGGCACUUGCUGCUAGUGCUCAUGUUUUACUGGUGGCACCAAUCAUCAGGCUUCAUCAUGGCGUACAGGCACAGUCAGCCGUGCCCCAACGCCCCCCAACACGCCUAGAUUGGUGUUCAGCACGCCAGGACUGCAGCUCCGAUGAACCGUCGUCUGCAGAGACUGUUCUGGCCUCGGUCCAUCAGUUUCCUCACAGAUGGACUCUCUCACCUGUGUGUUCAGUACAUCUCACCUGUGAGUCUCUGUGAUGAGGGAGGAGGAAUGAAUCCAGCGUGUGAGAUGACGUUUGAGUACUUCAAGCUAAUAAGAAACAAUACGGACCUCUGCGUCGGACUGACUGCUCACCUGAAAUCACUCAGGCUGUCACCUGCUGAGGCACCUUUAUAAACUCCUUGAGGACUUCAUGUUUGUGUGUAAACUGCAGACAGCACUGAAGGAACGGGUUGGUAACUUUAGUUUUUCUGCCUGGAAAUGAACCCGUGUCCAGCUGUUUCUAAAGGUUGAAAGCUGCUUCAUCUGACAGAUUCAGGCUCGUCCCUGAAAAAGGAACUGAACUGUCUAAUGUCAGUAUUAUUAUACUACAAGUAAACAGACUCAAGAUCUUCUUUAAAAACAGACUCUGAAGUCUUUGUCAGUGGAAAUAAUCAAAGCAUGGGGAUGAUGUUCAGACAGAACAAACCAGAGUUUGACUUUCGUCAGUGCGGACUCUGCCAAGUGAGACGGGCCACAGAUGGUUUCAUAUAAAUGUACCCACUCUAUUUCAUACCUGAAGCUCUGAUUUUUUUUUUUUUUUUUUUUUUAAGCUGCUCGCUUCCUGUUCAAACUGAUGUUCAUUUAUAUGUAAAGAAUUUCACAGGAUGCUUGAAGGGGAACUUUAAAUAUUUGUUAUUUUAUGUUGUUCUGUCGUAAAGAUGUGAGAGUCCUCUCUUCCUCGUCUUUAUCGGUGGUAACUCUGUGGGGUGAGGGUGGCUGUGGGGAUGCUCGUGAGUCUCGUAAAGUUUUAUGAGUCCUAAAACCCCAGGAAGUGUUUCAGUCUUCCAGCUUCCUCGUCUACUUCAGUUCUGCGUUUACUUCCACAUAAUAAAAGAUGGACGUAGCUUCCUGGCCCGCUGUCCUGACCUCAGUCUGGUCAUAAUGAAAAGAUGUCCACACAGGAAACGAUAACAGGAAGUCAGCGAUGGCCACUUGAACUAUAAGCAAACCUUGGCCAUCCCUGCAGUGCUAUGAACGCUGACAUCUAUUACUACAGACUGUUAUUUUCUUGUUUGCUAAAAGGUUUGAGCAUUUGAACAAUCGAAUUUAAGUUUUAAAACCCUAAAACAUCUGAUUUGUCACUAAGCUGGGACAGUUUUUAGAUUCACGAUUUAUGCAUUUCACAUGAACUGCAUUAAUAUUUCUGUGUAGCGUGCGGCUCUGAUAUCUACUGUAAACUCAUCACUUUACAACACUUUUAUUAUGACAAGCAAACUUCAUUUUUGAAAAUGUAUUUUUUCUCUUCAGCUUUUUAAGGACAUGUGCAAUGUUUUCAUGGCUUCACUCCCCAGUGCAGCGCCUCUCUGCUGGUAGCUGUCUCACUCUGGAACAGAAAGCCGGAUGUUUUCUGUGUGACUGUUUAAUGUUUCUAAUGUUGAAAAAAGGGGGCAAUGUUCUCCGGUUUGUGGUUCUGUAUUUAAAUUAUUCAUAAUGAGUUUCUUUUUGUCUUAAUAGACUCAUUUUGUAGGAGCGGAAAGUUUUAUAUGUUGACUUUUCAUACCUGAGUGUCAGACUCUAAAUAAAAGUAACCAUGUGCUGUUUCCAGACGUUUGAGAUGAAACUUUAUUUAUUGCAUCCAACAGCAGUAUAGCAUAAAUACAAUACAAGACUUACCCUGGUGAAAAACCAAAAACAAAGAUGGAAGCGGUCGUAUGAAAUGGUUCAACUGGUGUACAAAAAAAAAGAAAAGAAGCAAAAACAGAGCAGGCUGCUGGUUUCAUUCAAACAAAUGUGCCAACGGUGGUGGAGCUAAAUGCAGUGCUUAAGGCGGUCGAUGUAGAAGCACAAAGUUGUUUAAGGAAGAUUUGAAGAA